AUGGCAAGUCGAACGAUGAACCGGUUUCGGCCGGGGAUUAGUGGCGAACGGGUGAGUAACACGUGGGCAAUCUGCCCUGCACUCUGGGACAAGCCCUGGAAACGGGGUCUAAUACCGGAUACUGACCUUCACGGGCAUCCGUGGGGGUCGAAAGCUCCGGCGGUGCAGGAUGAGCCCGCGGCCUAUCAGCUUGUUGGUGAGGUAAUGGCUUACCAAGGCGACGACGGGUAGCCGGCCUGAGAGGGCGACCGGCCACACUGGGACUGAGACACGGCCCAGACUCCUACGGGAGGCAGCAGUGGGGAAUAUUGCACAAUGGGCGGAAGCCUGAUGCAGCGACGCCGCGUGAGGGAUGACGGCCUUCGGGUUGUAAACCUCUUUCAGCAGGGAAGAAGCGAAAGUGACGGUACCUGCAGAAGAAGCGCCGGCUAACUACGUGCCAGCAGCCGCGGUAAUACGUAGGGCGCAAGCGUUGUCCGGAAUUAUUGGGCGUAAAGAGCUCGUAGGCGGCUUGUCGCGUCGGUUGUGAAAGCCCGGGGCUUAACCCCGGGUCUGCAGUCGAUACGGGCAGGCUAGAGUUCGGUAGGGGAGAUCGGAAUUCCUGGUGUAGCGGUGAAAUGCGCAGAUAUCAGGAGGAACACCGGUGGCGAAGGCGGAUCUCUGGGCCGAUACUGACGCUGAGGAGCGAAAGCGUGGGGAGCGAACAGGAUUAGAUACCCUGGUAGUCCACGCCGUAAACGGUGGGCACUAGGUGUGGGCAACAUUCCACGUUGUCCGUGCCGCAGCUAACGCAUUAAGUGCCCCGCCUGGGGAGUACGGCCGCAAGGCUAAAACUCAAAGGAAUUGACGGGGGCUCGCACAAGCGGCGGAGCAUGUGGCU
Molecule: ribosomal RNA, 880 nt
Filed under: Streptomyces parvulus
Lineage: Bacteria; Bacillati; Actinomycetota; Actinomycetes; Kitasatosporales; Streptomycetaceae
Description: bacterial SSU rRNA
Rfam family: Bacterial small subunit ribosomal RNA
Source: RNAcentral